This 254-nucleotide ribosomal RNA is filed under the name uncultured bacterium. Its description in RNAcentral is "partial 16S ribosomal RNA". It matches the Rfam family "Bacterial small subunit ribosomal RNA", at positions 524 to 776 of the family's 1533-position model. The record is from RNAcentral.
CACGUAGGGGGCGAGCGUUGUCCGGAUUUAUUGGGCGUAAAGAGCUCGUAGGCGGCUCAGUAAGUCAGGUGUGAAAACUCCAGGCUCAACCUGGAGACGCCACCCGAUACUGCUGUGGCUAGAGUCCGGUAGGGGAGCAUGGAAUUCCUGGUGUAGCGGUGAAAUGCGCAGAUAUCAGGAGGAACACCGGUGGCGAAGGCGGGUCUCUGGGCCGAUACUGACGCUGAGGAGCGAAAGCGUGGGGAGCGAACAGG